RNAcentral lists this long non-coding RNA (260 nucleotides) under Manihot esculenta (cassava). Its description in RNAcentral is "long non-coding RNA (MESC_LNC009530)". Lineage: Eukaryota; Viridiplantae; Streptophyta; Magnoliopsida; Malpighiales; Euphorbiaceae. The record is from RNAcentral.
UCCCUUGGUCGAUUUCAAGUUUUCCUUUGACUUUCCAAAGUGUUAUGAGCUUUAUCCUUGGUUUUGAAGAGUUUUAAGCUUGGAUCAAGGAUUUGGAGCUUGGAGACCCCAGAGCUAGUUUCCUCCACAUCUCCAAGGUUCGGAUCACACCAACCCUCGAUCUCCAAGAGGUUAGUGUAGAUCUCUGCUUUUCCUUAUGUUUUAAUGAGUUUUAAGUAAGUUUUAAGGAGAUUUGAUGUAUGUGUUUGGGUAGAUAUGCA